RNAcentral lists this ribosomal RNA (206 nucleotides) under Minutocellus polymorphus. RNAcentral describes it as "partial Eukaryotic large subunit ribosomal RNA". It matches the Rfam family "Eukaryotic large subunit ribosomal RNA", at positions 1255 to 1460 of the family's 3401-position model. Lineage: Eukaryota; Bacillariophyta; Thalassiosirophyceae; Cymatosirales; Cymatosiraceae. The record is from RNAcentral.
UGGAAGUCGGAAUCCGCUAAGGAGCGUGUAACAACUCACCUGCCGAAUGGAUUAGCCCUGAAAAUGGAUGGCGCUGAAGCGAGCGACUUAUACUCGACCAUCACGGCAAGUGCGACGCCGUGAUGAGUAGGAGGGCGUGGGGCUCGUGGCGCAUCCCGCGGCGUGAGCCGGGGUGAAACGGGCUCUAGUGCAGAUCUUGGUGGUAG